Molecule: ribosomal RNA, 253 nt
Filed under: uncultured bacterium
Lineage: Bacteria
Description: partial 16S ribosomal RNA
Rfam family: Bacterial small subunit ribosomal RNA
Source: RNAcentral
UACAGAGGGGGCAAGCGUUGUUCGGAAUUACUGGGCGUAAAGGGCGCGUAGGCGGCCUGUUAAGUCGAACGUGAAAUCCCCGGGCUCAACCCGGGAACUGCGUCCGAUACUGGCAGGCUUGAAUCCGGGAGAGGGAUGCGGAAUUCCAGGUGUAGCGGUGAAAUGCGUAGAUAUCUGGAGGAACACCGGUGGCGAAGGCGGCAGCCUGGACCGGCAUUGACGCUGAGGCGCGAAAGCCAGGGGAGCAAACGGG